GCACUCUAUUCUUUUCCAGCUCACUUAUUUAUGCAUUUAUUUAUAUAGCUAUGAAUUUUUAUUUUAUUUAUUGAGAUGAUAAAAGAAAGAACCUUGAACACAUAGAUCAACAGGUUUUGCACGUCAUUCAAUACACACUCUCCCUUGGUUUUCUUAUCCAGGGUGUAAGACACACACAGAGACACACCCCGACACGCACACACAAAUAAUACACACAUAUUGUAUAGACAGUCCCACUCACGGAAGAAUGGGGUAGUCCCAGUGCACUAGCUAAAGCUGCUAACUAGCAGGUGCUAGCUCAUGAUGCUGAGAGCCCUGUUGGCCUGGUCCUUAUCAGGAUCCGGCUACUGUCUUUGAAAUCAAGUUUCUGCCAUUUUUACGCGUUCAGGAGAAAAAGUAGAAGGACAACACAUUUCUCCAUCACAGGUGAGCUCCUUUCACAGUUUUAACUGAAGUUGGCUAACUUUAACCAACUGAUAAAGAAAUGUGUCCCUGUAAUUUCUGAGCCACGCUGUUUAUUUACAUGCACUGCAGCUCGACAUUUUUGCUAUAUGGAAUAUUUAAUGCUAAUUUUCCCAGACGCAACACUUCCAUUAAUGUUUCUGUAGGAACGACUGUAUAGAUAUAUUUAUUUCAGGUCUACUUUAUACUGCGUAUGGUUAAAGUUAUUGUAAAUGGCAGAAGCAACUUUUUCAAGUUUGGUUCAGUAAUUUAUUUGAAUUACUUUGAGUGUGCAAUUUUCAUGUAUGUAAGUUAAAACAGUGAAGAACACUUUAGCUUUUGUUUCAAUACUUUGGUAAUACUUGGAAGUAUAAAGCUUGGCAUCAGAGCUAAUAUUUAAUAUUUUCCUUUGAAUCUUGACUGUCACCCUCAAAAUACUUACAUUAAAGUCACUGGGUCCAUGACAGUUAAAGGGUUUUAAGAUAAAAUAAUAUUUUACAGUUUUUCUCAGUUUGCAUUUCUCAGAACAGAAUUUAAAUUCUUAAAACUACUUGUUCAAUCUUCAAAUUAUUGUGUCACUUCUGCACAUCAAUAAAGGAGUUUCUCAUUCUUUUGAGCAAGUUGCAAACGCUUUUGUAGAUCAUGCAACUUAUUAUGUGCACUUCUCUGCUUUUGCUCCCAUUUUAAUUUGCUUUAAUCAUGUUGAUCAAAAUGUGUUAAACGUGUCUCUGUUGAAUUGUCUCAACUUCCAAAACAGCAAAGGUUCACUGUGUAAGUCUUAACAUGCAUAAGUCUUGAAGUUGUCAUAAUGUCAAUCAUAUUUUAAUUUAUUUAUAUUAGAUAUUUUUCUAAAUUUGUCUUGAAUUGGUAAAUUGCUCCCAAGUGAGUCCUGAGUUUCUCUAACAGGUCAAUGUAUGAACCAUUAGCUCAACCAACGAUCAACCGAUUUUCAGAAACAGAUUGAAGGUGCAUCUUAUGAGUCAUCAGUUGAUGGCGAUAUACACACCAAAUAAGGGCUGUUCACUUUUUAAAUUAUCAACCUUUUGUUUUUGAAUUUUUGGGGAUUUUUUUCUGUUUGACUUUCUGCAUUGAGUUUAUCUUGUGUCAUCUAUCCUGAAUUACUGGUCAAAAAGUAAAAAAUGUAAAGAGAAACAUAUUUCUCCCAAAAGGAAGGAUGAAGAUAGAAAAUUCCCUGAAACAACAGGUCUUCAUCUGAGGUUUUUUUGUUUGUGUUUUUUGUCUGGUUGCAGAGAGGAUUAAACCUGUCGACAACAAACAAAGGUUUAAGGACUUCUGAAUUUUCAGUCAGAAAUGAUCACACCGCCUGGUUGAAGUACCAGUCUCCAUGUGCAAGUCAACAAAGCAGAGAGGAAACACCUGAUUGACAAGGUAUGAGUCUCAAGCUCAACCUGUGACUGGGAAAACCAUAUCCAUGAUGCACACCAUCCUGAGCAAAGUCUGAACUCAAUGACUUGUUGCUCUCAACCUAGAGCGAGAAUCCUUUUAUCACCAUUUAUCCUUUUAUCACCGGUCACCCCUUAUAUGGACACAUGCUGUUUUUUUUUUCAGAUCUUAGUAAUACCAUGAGGAAACUGGACAGGAAACAGAAUUGUUUCUUUUUUUUAACAGAAUUUUUAAAUAGAAAUUGUUUCUUUAAGUGGAUUACUUGUAAUCUGUAUUUUUGUUUAAUUUGGACUUAUUUUCUUUAUAACUUUCCAUAUUGAAAUGCAGACAAAAUUACACUUCCUUGUGAGUUGUACUGUAAUUUUUAUGGUAAAAUUCUGGUAACAACAGCUACCGGUAAUUUAUCAUAAAGUUUUUAUUUUCAAAUUUUUUUACAAUAAAAUGUCAAUAUAUCAUACAGUCCUGCCGUGUUUUUCACUUACAUAGACUAAUCUUUACGGUAUGUGUGUUUUUAUAGUAAGUUGCAUAGAAAAGUUUAAGUUCUGAACUGCUAAGUCACGGUUGCCAAGAUAUUAUGCCUCAUGCAGUAUGACCGUAUUUACUAUGG
This is a long non-coding RNA of Xiphophorus hellerii (green swordtail), 2452 nucleotides long. RefSeq lists it as uncharacterized. The record is from RefSeq and is a predicted model, not a curated record. The transcript is spliced from 2 exons. NCBI's taxonomy places the organism in Eukaryota, Metazoa, Chordata, Actinopteri, Cyprinodontiformes, Poeciliidae.